GAAUAAAACUUAAAAAAUAAUUUACUCUAACUUUUAAGAAACCCUAUGUCUCCCGAUUUCUCUCAAGGCUUAUCUCCCUCACUCCUCAAAGAAGUAUAAACCCUAAAUCUCCUAAAACUCCAUAAAGGAAGAUUUGGGGAGAAUAUCAAACUGAAAAUCUACUACUCAUCUAUCACAACCUCGUUUAUAUUGUUGUUUUAUUUUUGAAGUGGAUAUAUAUUACACUUAGUGAAUUUGGACACUUUUUCGGGUUUUGGAGGCUAAAGUUUACAAAUCAAGAAGCGGGCUUUGAAGACAUACAAGUUGACUUUUACUUGGCUAGAAAUGUUGGAUAAAAUAUUAUAUUAAGUUUAGGGGUGUUAACUAGAUCUUUUGCUAAAGGGUUCCAAAAUAUAUUCUACCAUGGUUGUACAGUGCCACUAACAUAUACUAUUCACUUUUUAUCCUUAAUUAUUAUAUAUGAAACUAUAUCUAUCAUUAUAUUA
This is a long non-coding RNA of Nicotiana tabacum (common tobacco), 485 nucleotides long. RefSeq lists it as uncharacterized. Lineage: Eukaryota; Viridiplantae; Streptophyta; Magnoliopsida; Solanales; Solanaceae. The record is from RefSeq and is a predicted model, not a curated record.